GAAGAAAAUCAUGUUCAUCCUUUGCAUUUUCGCACCCUAAGAACAGCCUUCACUAAAUCAGCUUCUGUUUUGAAGGAGAAAAACGAGUUUGAAGUUGGGACAUGCAUGCUGAUUGUGUGAUAAAGAGUGGAUACGGGUUUGAUGAAUUUGGAGUUGGAGUUUUGGUCAAGUGAGGAGCUCAAUUGCAGCAUGUUCAUCAUCCAAAGCUCCAUUGAUGCAAGGUGCAGUUUAGUAGUGUUUGGUCAGUAGCAGGUUUGGACUGAAGACUUGGAAGUGGUGAUGGCUCGGAGACCUCGUUGGUUUUGACUUUCCGCUGUGCAAGAUCCAUUGAAGACACAUGUUUUGUAAUUAUUAUUAUUAUUAUUUCAUGUUGUAUUCUAAAUGGAUCAUCUUGUAUCCUUAGCUUUUGUAUGUACUCAAUAUCAAUUUUAACGUUUCAUGCAUAAUAUACUAGUCAGUUAUGUAUGGGGUGUUACAGUUGGUAUCAGAGCUGGUCGAUUCUCGGCCGAGCCAUGAGACAUCACUAGCAAUUCCUUUUCCUCCUCUCAAGUGUGCGUUGCUAGCCUGAUUUUACUGAAAUCUCAUUCAGUUGUUGAACUUGAUCAACUCAUCGACUGAGUGUGAGACAGUAGAAUUACGGCAGAGCCGCCACGAGGACUCGUAAAACCUGCAAGGUUGUGAACCUAAGUUGUUGGAUGUUUUAAGUGGAUGAUAUUGGAGUCAUCAAGAUUAAGGAGAGCAUUCGACACGAAGUAGUGAUACCCAAACUGUCAAGGUGUGGAAUGGAGAUAGCUAGAACCCCCAGGAUUUUGACUGAACGAAGUGAAGCUUUCUCUAAGUCUUGGUAAUAGCAAGGGAAAUCCAAAUAAUAUUGAGUAGGAGCCUUGUAAAGUAAGAUUCUCCGAAAGUGUUGAGCUGUGAAUUAGUAGGAUUCAGUAAUGAUGAUGCUGCCGGUGUUAAGUGCGACUGAUGAGCUGA
This is a long non-coding RNA of Vicia villosa (hairy vetch), 978 nucleotides long. RefSeq lists it as uncharacterized. The transcript has 3 exons. Lineage: Eukaryota; Viridiplantae; Streptophyta; Magnoliopsida; Fabales; Fabaceae. The record is from RefSeq and is a predicted model, not a curated record.